Molecule: ribosomal RNA, 340 nt
Filed under: uncultured eukaryote
Lineage: Eukaryota
Description: partial 18S ribosomal RNA
Rfam family: Eukaryotic small subunit ribosomal RNA
Source: RNAcentral
CCCUUAGAUGUUCGGGGCCGCACGCGCGCUACACUGAAGGACUCAGCGUGUCUCUCCCCCUAUCCCGAAAGGGAUGGGCAACCCGUUGAACCUCAUUCGUGCUAGGGAUUGGGGUUUGCAAUUAUCCCCCAUGAACGAGGAAUUCCCAGUAAGCGCGAGUCAUCAGCUCGCGUUGAUUACGUCCCUGCCCUUUGUACACACCGCCCGUCGCUACUACCGAUUGGAUGGUUUAGUGAGACCCUCGGAUCGGUCCCGACUCGGGGUGGGCUUCUGCCCCGGUCGUGGUUUCGCCGAGAAGACGGUCAAACUUGACUAUCUAGAGGAAGUAAAAGUCGUAACA